AUUGAACGCUGGCGGUAUGCUUAACACAUGCAAGUCGAACGGUAACAGCAAGAGCUUGCUCUUGGCUGACGAGUGGCGGACGGGUGAGUAAUGCAUAGGAAUCUGCCUAGUAGUGGGGGACAACAUGUGGAAACGCAUGCUAAUACCGCAUACGCCCUACGGGGGAAAGGGGGGGAUCUUCGGACCUCUCGCUAUUAGAUGAGCCUAUGUCAGAUUAGCUAGUUGGUGAGGUAAUGGCUCACCAAGGCAACGAUCUGUAGCUGGUCUGAGAGGAUGAUCAGCCACACUGGGACUGAGACACGGCCCAGACUCCUACGGGAGGCAGCAGUGGGGAAUAUUGGACAAUGGGCGAAAGCCUGAUCCAGCAAUACCGCGUGUGUGAAGAAGGCCUGAGGGUUGUAAAGCACUUUCAAUUGGGAGGAAUACCUGCUGAGAUAAUAUCAGGCAGAUUGACAUUACCUUUAGAAGAAGCACCGGCUAACUCCGUGCCAGCAGCCGCGGUAAUACGGAGGGUGCAAGCGUUAAUCGGAAUUACUGGGCGUAAAGCGUACGUAGGCGGUUAGUUAAGUUAGAUGUGAAAGCCCCGGGCUUAACCUGGGAACUGCUUCCAAAACUGUCUGGCUAGAGUCUGGGAGGGGAAGAUGGAAUUAGUAGUGUAGGGGUAAAAUCCGUAGAGAUUACUAGGAAUACCAAAAGCGAAGGCGAUCUUCUGGAACAGUACUGACGCUGAGAUGCGAAAGCGUGGGGAGCAAACAGGAUUAGAUACCCUGGUAGUCCACGCAGUAAACGAUGAAUGUUAGUCGUUGGUAUCCUAGAGAUAUCAGUGAUGCAGUUAACACAUUAAACAUUCCGCCUGGGGAGUACGGUCGCAAGAUUAAAACUCAAAGGAAUAGACGGGGACCCGCACAAGUGGUGGAGCAUGUGGUUUAAUUCGAAGAUACGCGAAGAACCUUACCUAGCCUUGACAUAUUUUAGAACUCACCAGAGAUGGAGAGGUGCCUUCGGGAGCUAAUUUACAGGUGCUGCACGGCUGUCGUCAGCUCGUGUCGUGAGAUGUUGGGUUAAGUCCCGCAACGAGCGCAACCCUCGUCACUAGUUACUAACGGUUCGGCCGAGGACUCUAGUGAGACUGCCUUCGUAAGGAGGAGGAAGGUGAGGACGACGUCAAGUCAUCAUGGCCCUUACGGCUAGGGCAACACACGUGCUACAAUGGUUAGGACAAUGAGAAGCAAUAUCGCGAGGUGGAGCAAAUCUAUAAACCUAAUCUCAGUUCGGAUUGUAGUCUGCAACUCGACUACAUGAAGCUGGAAUCACUAGUAAUCGUAGAUCAGCUAUGCUACGGUGAAUACGUUCCCGGGUCUUGUACUCACCGCCCGUCACACCAUGGGAGUUGAUUUCACCCGAAGCGGGGAAGCUAAACUGGCUACCCUCCACGGUGGAAUUAGCGACUGGGGUG
RNAcentral lists this ribosomal RNA (1456 nucleotides) under uncultured Gammaproteobacteria bacterium. RNAcentral describes it as "partial 16S ribosomal RNA". It matches the Rfam family "Bacterial small subunit ribosomal RNA". Lineage: Bacteria; Pseudomonadati; Pseudomonadota; Gammaproteobacteria. The record is from RNAcentral.